AACUAAAUGCCAUGAGCCCCACUAGGAGCCAGAAGCUGCUGGGAUGUAGAACUGCUACAUCUGAGCCCUGGGGAGACACAGCCUAGGGGGUCAGGUAGCAGGGGUCAGGAAGGGGAGUAGGGAGAGUGAAGGGGGAGGGGAGGAGUCAGGAAGAGUGGGGGAGGGGAGUAGGGCGGGAAGAAGGAGGGGAAGGGGUUAGCGUGGGGGUCAGGAGACCAUCCGACAAAGGAGGAUCAGGCCGCCUUGAGUCUCUGCAGGUGAAGAGUGUCUAGGAGCACAGCUUGGCUGCAGAGCAUUCAAGAGAGGGCCUGGCCUUAACCGGAAAUGGCUGUGGACCUGAAAAUGGCACAAAUUCUGGCUCUGGGAGUGGACCCACACCAGGCAGAAACAAGAACGAGGUGAGACCAAAGGUGAGCUGGAGUUAAGAGGGUUUGAGAUGGUCAGGGGAGGCCACUCUGAGAGGUGCAUCUGAGCUGAGAUCAAAAAGGCAAGAGGAAGAAAGUAUUUAUAUUAUAAAGAGCUGAGCAAACAGUGCUGUGAGCAGAGGAAACCACAGAUUCCCUUCCAGGAGAGGUUAUUACAAGAACUGAGUCGAUGAGUUUGGUGGGGAUUGUGACCAGAAGAUUUGGAAAAUUAAAUAUGGCUGAAGAUUCAACUUCCACUUUUAACCGUUCCAGAAAUAGAGAAAGUAUCGAAAAAGAAGAUGUGUAAUCACUCUGUGUAAAAGUUCACAUGUAUAUCUGUGUAUAUAUAUUAACCACAUACAGCUUUUCCUUGAAGUCGUUUUGUCAUAUUUUUGUACUAAAACAUUCUUCUAAGAUUGCAUGUUGUAUGUGAUUUUUUUGGGGGUCAAAUUUGAUUUACCUGGUUAUCAAAUAUUCCAUUAACAAUUUGUAAGGGAAAUUUAUUUUGAUAAUCUGUAAAGUGAGGAUAUAUGCCUUUUGAUUACUUUGGACAAGGAAUUCAGGACAUUUUACUUAACCUCUAAAAGGCAAUAACUUGUUGCUUAACAUUCAAAUAUUUAAAUUUGGUGAAAAUGCCAUUCUGUUUAAAGCAUUGUGUAAAGAAAGUUGUUCUGUUAUUUUUUGAAAAUGAAAUUUAAAUUUGGGAGGGGUGGGUUGUCUUUUGUUGCUAGUAAACAAGUACUAUUUUAUCAGUAUUGGUGUUCUUCAUGUGUAACUAUUAACUGGUUAUUUGCAAGUUUUUUAAUAAUUGUUAAUGAUGUAUAAACUGUCAGUGAUCCUUAGAUUGUUCUUAACUUUCUGGAAUUUAAACAGUAGUUAAAAAGAAAACAAGAUGUGCUAAUGCUGAAUGGAGUUGACAAGUAUGUGUGUCUGUAGGUCUUAAUGCCAAAAGUGUGAGUGGGAAUCUGAAAUUAGUUUUUGUUUAAAGUCUGUAGUUAACGUUUCUGUUCCCUACUCCCUUCAUAAAGCAGAUUUUGGCAACAGUGACAGUUGACAAGUGGAACCUAAGUAGAGGCAGUCAGAGCAAUAUCCCUGCUGCUUCUCCUGUGUUUUUUGUCUCUAGCCUGGGUUUCAUAUGUGGUAGAAAAAUGUGGGUUAACUUAAGAAUGAUUGUAUUUUAAAUGAUCGGUUGUUGAAAUUGGACCCAAGUUAAAUUUUGUAAGAGGGAUGCCAUUUUAGUAAUAUGGAAUAAAUUAACAUGUAACCUCAAUGUGCCACCCAAUACAUUUUGAGAACAUUCUUUCAAAAUGCAUUGUGUGAAGUUGAACAAAACUAGCAUGUCCCUUCUUUAAGAAAUAUAAAGAGCUUAAUUAAGGAUCCCUGAAUAGAAAAGGUAAGAAUUUCACAGUUCUGGAGUUCAGUAAAAGGUAAAUAAUUUCCAGAAUGAGAGAAUACUACUAAGAAUGAUGUAGUGCUUACAAAAUGGAAAUCGAACUGUCCAUUAGUUUGAGUUCUUGAACCUUUUGAAUUGGAAACCUAAAAAUUGUUUUGGUGUUUAAUGACAAACACUGCUUUAAACUAUGCUUUAAAAGUCCCACAAUGUUAGCAUGGCUUACAGUACUCUACAAAAUGGUGUGCUAUAGGUUAAAAGGGAAAAAAGGAAUGUUUACAUGUACCAGAUCAUAUAAUUUUAUUUUUAAAGCUUUUAAAAAUUUUAUUUUUAUAGCAUUGUUCAGAGUGAAACAAUGAUAAGCCUGUCAGAUGAUUCUUAAACAUGCUAAACCAUAAGUCAAGUAACUAAAAGAAUUGUUAGGUUAAAAGAUAAUUCUUCUUAGAUGCUGAAUUUGUGAUGUUCAGAGUUUAGUUGAGCUGUUAAUCAGUGAGAGAACGUUUUAUGUGGGCAUUGGCGGUGGGGCUGAGGUUGUGUAGGGUUUAGUAAGAUUUAGUAGGAAUUGCAUCUGAUGCUGGAUAAAAUGCAUGGCAAAUUUUGUAUGCUUAUGUCUAAAGAUUUCUUAGGCAUGGACAACAUACUCUUCAAGUAACACUAAAGAAAAGACAUGCAAAUAACAAAGGUUAACAUUCAGCCAUUUUGAGAUAUCAGUAAGGGAACAAGUUGAUUAUAGCUAAUGAUUGCCUCACGUAUAAUUAACCUGGGGAAAACCGCUCUGGCCAAUUUUUCUCAGUGUUUUAACCUUGAAAUUCCUUAAAGUUUCAAAUUUGAUAGCCUUAAGACUAUUUUCAGAAAAAAUUAAUAAUAUUCUUUUGUAUGUUAUUUAUAUCUCAUUCUCCAGUUUGUGUGUAAAAAAAGCAAAGUACUUAUGGUUUUACAAGUUAUUCUUUGUCAAAGCUGCUUGCAAAGUAGUGGUGAUUUUACUAAAAACUUCUGAGAUCUUCAUUUUACAGGCAAACCUAUCUAAGCAGAGCAAACCAGACUUGGGGGUUUUCCCUGUAUUUUGAAGAGCCCUACAAAUGAUUGAGCCCUACAGAAUGAUUCGUGAUACAAAGCAACCUACAACUGCCUGGAGAAAAAUUUGGUGUCACAUUAUAAAGCUUGCUGUGCGUUUAAUGAAGUACUGUUCUGAAUUGAUAACCUUGGGGUAGUUUGUCUAGCGUCAGAGUUCAGAGCCUCUGCGCUGAGCAGUAAAGGUAAGGAGGGCUCACUGUGCAAGGUCAGUUUUUGUUGUCCCACUGGAAAUCCUGCCAUGCCUACUUGAAGACAGCACAUUCCUCUUUGCUUUGGAGGUUGUUGAGCUUUCAUUGUGCUUAAAGCCUGGAUACAGUUUUCUGUUUUGUUAAGUUAAAUUCAGGAGGUAAUAUUCUUACCGAGUUUUAAAGGGUAAUGAAGUUGGGCAUAUCCUGUGAAUUUUAAGGCCAUAGAAAAAUCCAUGAAGGCUUAGUUUUCUUCUAAUUUAGUGUAUACAGCAUUCAGAGAUGCUUAUGUAUUUGCAACUAAGUCAUGCUGUUGGAAUUGUUUUGAUGCUUUUAAUGUAAAUAAAUUUAUGCAUUUUAAAACUACUUGUUAAAUUGACCAGAAUGAGAAUUUUGAAAUAAAAAUUUUAAGG
This is a long non-coding RNA of Cervus elaphus (red deer), 3466 nucleotides long. RefSeq lists it as uncharacterized. The transcript is spliced from 4 exons. Lineage: Eukaryota; Metazoa; Chordata; Mammalia; Artiodactyla; Cervidae. The record is from RefSeq and is a predicted model, not a curated record.